This 253-nucleotide ribosomal RNA is filed under the name uncultured bacterium. RNAcentral describes it as "partial 16S ribosomal RNA". It matches the Rfam family "Bacterial small subunit ribosomal RNA", at positions 524 to 776 of the family's 1533-position model. The record is from RNAcentral.
UACGUAGGGAGCAAGCGUUGUCCGGAAUUACUGGGUUUAAAGGGUGCGUAGGCGGCCAUGUAAGUCAGGAGUGAAAGUUUGCGGCUCAACCGUAAAAUUGCUUUUGAUACUGCAUGGCUGGAAUCAGGAUGAGGUCAGCGGAAUGUGGCAUGUAGCGGUGAAAUGCAUAGAUAUGCCAUAGAACACCAAUUGCGAAGGCAGCUGGCUAGACCUGUAUUGACGCUGAGGCACGAAAGCGUGGGGAGCGAACAGG